Molecule: long non-coding RNA, 677 nt
Organism: Acinonyx jubatus (cheetah)
Lineage: Eukaryota; Metazoa; Chordata; Mammalia; Carnivora; Felidae
Exons: 4
Source: RefSeq, a predicted model, not a curated record
AAAACAGUCUGUUAAGCAUGUAAAAGGCAACCAAAACUGCAGUUCAGCACCUAUGAAGUGACUUACUAACUUUGCCUGCGUAAGGAUUCUGGAAUGAAGCAGAAGAAGGAAAGGUGUAAGGGACAAAUAAUGUCUUUCUUAAUUGAUACCAAGUGUACCUCUGGAACUAGAUGAUCCAGCCAUACCAACCGUUUUAGAACAGGUGCUUUUCUCUCUUCACAGAAUCAAAAGAAAAACAACAAAACAACAACAAAAACAAAAACAGAAGCAACAACAACCAAAUGAACAAACAAACAAAAAAACCCAAAUGAAGGGAGAGUCAGUUUCCCCUAGGGCUGAAACUUUGCAGCAGUUUACAGUAAGUAGACUAAACUUGUUGAAGGGAUUUGUGAUGGUGUUCUAAGGGAGGGGCUUGCUGCUCUGGCUCUCAGGCCUAUAGGCCCUAGUGUUGAUGUGCCUGGAGAGCACUGGGGGGUGGGGCUUGGUGUAAUGGCUCUAUUCUCCACUCAGUGGUGCUGUUUAGCUCACUGGGAUUGAUCAGUGCUGGUGGGCUAAUAGUGGAAAAUGGCUUCACUGGUUCUCUAGUCUCCAGAGCAGGAGUUUGCAUCCUUGAACAUGAAGACAUGCAAUCACCCUUCCUGUGUCCCCUGCUUCUGUCAGCUCCCUGCCUUCCCCCU